AUCAACUUUCGAUGGUAGGAUAGAGGCCUACCAUGGUGGUAACGGGUAACGGGGUGUUAGGGCACGACACCGGAGAGGGAGCCUGAGAAACGGCUACCACAUCCAAGGAUGGCAGCAGGCGCGCAAAUUACCCAAUCCCGACACGGGGAGGUAGUGACAAUAAAUAACAAUACGGGGUUCUUUAGGAUCUCGUAAUUGGAAUGAGUACAAUUUAAAUCUCUUAACGAGGAACAAUUGGAGGGCAAGUCUGGUGCCAGCAGCCGCGGUAAUUCCAGCUCCAAUAGCGUAUAUUAAAGUUGUUGCAGUUAAAAAGCUCGUAGUUGAAUUUCGGGGUUAGUAAGUUGGUCAUGCCUUCGGUAUGUACUGGCUUCACUGAUUCCUCCUUCUUGACGAACCGUGAUGUCAUUAAUUUGGUGUUGCGGGAAAUCAGGACUGUUACUUUGAAAAAAUUAGAGUGUUUAAAGCAGGCUAACGCUUGAAUACAUUAGCAUGGAAUAAUGAAAUAGGACGUUAAUCCUAUUUUGUUGGUUUCUAGGAUCGACGUAAUGAUUAAUAGGGAUAGUUGGGGGCAUUAGUAUUCAAUUGUCAGAGGUGAAAUUCUUGGAUUUAUUGAAGACUAACUACUGCGAAAGCAUUUGCCAAGGAUGUUUUCAUUAAUCAAGAACGAAAGUUAGGGGAUCGAAGACGAUCAGAUACCGUCGUAGUCUUAACCAUAAACUAUGCCGACUAGGGAUCGGAUGAUGUUAUUUUUAAUGACUCAUUCGGCGCCUUACGGGAAACCAAAGUGUUUGGGUUC
RNAcentral lists this ribosomal RNA (796 nucleotides) under uncultured Glomeromycotina. RNAcentral's name for it is "SSU rRNA". It matches the Rfam family "Eukaryotic small subunit ribosomal RNA", at positions 314 to 1114 of the family's 1831-position model. Lineage: Eukaryota; Fungi; Glomeromycota. The record is from RNAcentral.